This 2321-nucleotide long non-coding RNA is filed under the name Gossypium barbadense (sea-island cotton). Its description in RNAcentral is "long non-coding RNA (GBAR_LNC012124)". Lineage: Eukaryota; Viridiplantae; Streptophyta; Magnoliopsida; Malvales; Malvaceae. The record is from RNAcentral.
UCUUCUCUACCAUCUUGUAAAACUUCUUUUGCAUUAUUAAAUUUUAGGCAUGUUGCGUGUCCAGAAUCUUUCCUUUCUCUUGAAACAAAAUUACUACUGUUUAACCACAGAGACGGCCUUCUAUGCCUUGAAAAGACUGCAAACCAAGAAGAGAAAAAUAGUUGAUCGUCGCGCCUCAAAGAGUCGAAAGAUAAGGUAGGUUUUCAAAUGUGAUUGGAUUGGCACCUUGUAUUUUUAUGGAGUCACGUUAAUCCGGUGCAUUUCUUAACGUUGGAGAGUUUGUGUUUAUUAACAUUCUUGUAGGUACCAUGUUCACGAGAAGAUAGUCAACUUCAUGGCACCGGAGCCCAUGAAGCUUCCUCCCAUGGCUCCAAAAUUAUUCGAGAAUUUGUUUGGAUUGAAAACCCAAUAACCUAAUGCUGAAAUCUGAUUUACUUUUUACCAAGCCUUUGGAAUUUUGUAAUUUUAAUUUAUGCUAUAUUAAAUUGUUUUAUAUAGGUCUGAUGUGACAGAGAAAAACAGAUGUGUUGCCAUAAUGAAAUAGAAGUUUGAUAAUUGGUCGGUACGCACAAGACUAAUAUGAAUUUCAUCAUUUAGUUUAUAAAACUUGAAAAUUUUAAUUCCUUUUAUUCUUCAUGGAAAAAACAUAUUCAUAUAUAUGAAGACCAAAAUGUGAUAAAUGAAAGGAAUUAAAAAUUUCAAGUUUGAUCAGUUAAGUUGGUUAGUUUUUAUAUAUUAAACCAAUUUAACAGUAGUUAACUUGAUCAUAAUCUGCCCAAAAUGUGAUAUGGGCUGUAACUGUGGGCGAUUUAUACACACACAGAAUAUAAGGGGUUUUAAUGAAUCAAUAUUGGGUUUAUAACACUGUUGGUUGAUUCUAGGAAUAGACUUUAAUACGGUAUGUAUGCACUAAAGUCCAAGGUGUUAAAACAAAUAACUUAGAUAAAAAUAAUGAGAUUCAUUUUGUAGCGACAUAAAAAUUUCUCUUUCGGUCGCUAAUUGAGGCGAUUAUUUGAAAAUUUAAAAAUCGACUCGAUUUUAUUAAAAAAAAGAGUUGUCACCGAUCUUUUUUCUAGGUGUGACCGGACACCUAAUAAAUCAUCCUUUUUUAGAAAAGAAAACUUAUUCUUGCACAAAAAUGAAGGCCGAAUUUAGGUCUACAUCAAAAGCCAGAGUAACGUUGGGUUCGGGAGUCGGUUACGCACGAGGAAGGUAUUAGCACCCUCGCGACGCCCAAAAUUGGUAUCUUAUUAAACAUGUGUUGUCUUGAUUUUCAAAAAUACGAAUUCAAUUUGACAUUUAAGUGUGAUCCGAUUGAAGGAAAUGAGAAGUUGUAAGUUUUUGGUUUUUUAGAAGAAUAUCCCAUUUUUAACACGAGCCGACUAACUUCACCCAACAUAGCGAUGAAAUCAAUGACUUAAUGUUAAAAUCGGUACAUUGCCUUAUUCUUAAAAUUAAAAUGUAAAAAGUUUUUAAAAUGAUAGUAAAAAAAAUCUAAGAAUAUUAUUGUAAAAAAUGCGAAUAGUGAUGUGAAUAAUAUAAAAUAUUAAAAUAUCAAAAUAUUAGAAUAAUAAUAAUUAAUAUUGACAAAUAAAAAAAUAAAAUAGAAAUAAAAGGUGUACAUAAUAUAUAUAUUAGAAAUAACAAUGAUGUUUAAAAAUAAUACUAUUAAUAAUACUACAUAAAUAUGUACAUAUAUAAAAAAUAAAUACGUGAUAAUAUUAAAAAUAUGUACAUAAUAUAGUGUAAAAAAUACAUACAUAAUAUAAUUAAAAUAUAUACAUAAGAUAACAUGUAAAAAUAUAUAUAUAAAUAAUAUAGUAUUAAAGAUAUAUACAUAAAAUAGUAUAAUAUAUAUACGUAAUAUAGAAUUUAGAAUAUACCUAAUAUAUUAAAAGAAUAUAUAUAAUAUAAUAUUAAGAAAUAUAAUAAUAACAAAAAAAAGAGAGAGGGAGAGAGUGGGUGAUUUCCGGCCACAAGGCCGGCCACCGUCCGGUCACCGGACUGCCGCCUGCCGCCAUCGGCGCCACCGUACACGACAGCCGGACCUCAAAAAAAACUUUUUCGGUAAAAAUGGAUAAGCUUCCUCCUUUUAUUUUUACUUUCAGAUAAAAGAAACAAAAUAAGAUUGAAAGAAAAAAUGAUAAGCAAACAAAGAACUUAAAACGAGAAUAGACGAAGAAACCUCUUUUGCUUUGAUCUUUGAUUAAUCUCCAAAAAAACUACUCUCUCCAAAAACUAGCAUUUACAAUAACUCUUCUCCUUGAUUACUCUAAAAAAACCUCUCAAAAAUCCUUUACAAUAACUUUCUCCCCUAAAAC